Ceratotherium simum simum (southern white rhinoceros) is the source of this 334-nucleotide non-coding RNA. Lineage: Eukaryota; Metazoa; Chordata; Mammalia; Perissodactyla; Rhinocerotidae. The record is from RefSeq and is a predicted model, not a curated record.
GUGCCCCUGGAGCAGACAAUCUCAUUAUUGAAAUAACAGAAUGCCAUAAAAGCUCAUCACUGCCAAACAGGAUACCAUAAGAAGAUUUAUACAUAACCCAGGUCUUAUGAUUAACAACAGUUGGUUCAUUAUGUGUCAUGUCAACAGACCACUAGUAUAAAAAGUUGUGCAAAUUCAGAUUCUCUCCAACAACUGGCACACUCUCAGCUCCUCUGGGAGAAGGACAAGCACCAACGAGAUGAAGAUUCUGCUGCUGACUCUUGUACUUGGUCUGGUUUGGGCUGACCAGGAACCUCAGUCUGAGGACGACAAAUCACUGCUUUCAGGAGAAAAU